This is a long non-coding RNA of Cervus elaphus (red deer), 154 nucleotides long. RefSeq lists it as uncharacterized. NCBI's taxonomy places the organism in Eukaryota, Metazoa, Chordata, Mammalia, Artiodactyla, Cervidae. The record is from RefSeq and is a predicted model, not a curated record. The transcript has 3 exons.
GACUGGACUUGAGUGACUCAAUCUACUCAAAAACAUGUCCAUUAAAUCUGUGAUGCCAUUCAACCAUCUCAUCCUCUGUCCUCCCCUUCUCCUCCUACCGUCAGUCUUUCCCAGGAUCAGGGUCUUUUCAAGUGAGUCAGUUCUUCCCAUCAGG